GAGUUUAAGAUUCCUCUUUUGUUCUGAGGGCAAGUUUUUGGGUGAUGAUGACAAAGCGUCAGGAGGACCUGUUAGAGUAGGUACGGCCCACCAUCUG
Molecule: non-coding RNA, 97 nt
Organism: Callorhinus ursinus (northern fur seal)
Lineage: Eukaryota; Metazoa; Chordata; Mammalia; Carnivora; Otariidae
Source: RefSeq, a predicted model, not a curated record